AGUCAAGUAAUUAAGUGCAUGUGGUGGAUGCCUUGGCAGUCAGAGGCGAUGAAAGACGUGAUAGCCUGCGAAAAGCUCCGGGGAGGCGGCAAAUAUCCUUUGAUCCGGAGAUGUCUGAAUGGGGGAACCCACCUACUUUAAGGUAGGUAUUGCAACAUGAAUACAUAGUGUUGCAAGGCGAACGAGGGGAAGUGAAACAUCUCAGUACCCUUAGGAAAAGAAAUCAAUUGAGAUUCCCUCAGUAGCGGCGAGCGAACGGGGAUCAGCCCAUUAAGUUAUGUGUGUUUUAGUGGAACGCUCUGGGAAGUGCGAACGUAGAGG
Molecule: ribosomal RNA, 321 nt
Filed under: Acinetobacter baumannii
Lineage: Bacteria; Pseudomonadati; Pseudomonadota; Gammaproteobacteria; Moraxellales; Moraxellaceae
Description: partial 23S ribosomal RNA
Rfam family: Bacterial large subunit ribosomal RNA
Source: RNAcentral